CAGGUGCUGCAUGGCUGUUGUCAGUUUGUUUCGUGAGAUUUUGGUUUAAUUCCCGCAACGAGCCCACCCUUUUUUUUUUGUUGCCAUUAUUGAGUUGGGCUUUUUAGAGGAUCCCCCGGCGACAAGCGGGAGGAAGGUGGGGAUGAUGUAAUGUUCUCAUGCCCUUUACACCGUGGGAUACACAUGUUUUACAAGGGCGGUGACAGUGGGCAGCUACUUCGAGAGAGGGGGAAAAUC
Molecule: ribosomal RNA, 237 nt
Filed under: uncultured bacterium
Lineage: Bacteria
Description: partial 16S ribosomal RNA
Rfam family: Bacterial small subunit ribosomal RNA
Source: RNAcentral